This 253-nucleotide ribosomal RNA is filed under the name uncultured bacterium. RNAcentral describes it as "partial 16S ribosomal RNA". It matches the Rfam family "Bacterial small subunit ribosomal RNA", at positions 524 to 776 of the family's 1533-position model. The record is from RNAcentral.
UACAGGGGGUGCAAACGUUGCUCGGAAUUAUUGGGCAUAAAGCGCACGUAGGCGGUUUGUUAUGUCGGAUGUGAAAGCCCUUGGCUCAACUGAGGAAGUGCAUCCGAAACUGGCAAGCUAGAGUAUGUAAGAGGGUCGCGGAAUUCCCGGUGUAGAGGUGAAAUUCGUAGAUAUCGGGAGGAACACCGGUGGCGAAGGCGGCGACCUGGGACAAUACUGACGCUGAGGUGCGAAAGCGUGGGGAGCAAACAGG